CCCAACCCCCAAAAGAAAACCACUAAUCUUGGAUCAAAAAAAGAUUGUUUCAAUUGGAAGAAUGAAGAAAACUGCUCACCACUUGCGCCAUCUCCUCCGAUUUGCCAUCUUGGAGUAAACUUCUUCGAAGUAAAAAUACGGCCCGUCUCCUCCAUUAUCAUCGACUGCUCGUCUAAGAAUUUCCUUCUCAUCAAGCAAUCAGCUCACAUCAAGAAGUGAAGGUGAAAAGGGCAGAAGUUUCUCAACAUUCCAAGGAGGCACAAGUUGCUUGAAUUUAUUUGCAGUCGAUGCUCAACAAUCCCAGGAGGUAGUAGUUGUUCGUGCAAAUAUUAGUUCACCAUUUUUACUUCGUAAUUGUUGUUUGUGAGGAUAAAUACCAUUUCAAGUAUGUCUUUUUUCUUCUGUUUCACUAUCCGUUCAAGAAUGUUAAAUGCUUGCAUUAAUAUUAGGUGUAGUUGAUAGGUUCUUUUCAUUAGCUAUCCAAAGUGAAAGACACUAAUAUGAAUCCUUAUCCAUGGGUUAACUGAAGUCUUUUUUCUGUAAUUUCUCCUAUUUAAUGAUAUUCAUGAAGUGAUAUUAUGUCCAA
Nicotiana attenuata is the source of this 586-nucleotide long non-coding RNA. RefSeq lists it as uncharacterized. The record is from RefSeq and is a predicted model, not a curated record. The transcript has 2 exons. NCBI's taxonomy places the organism in Eukaryota, Viridiplantae, Streptophyta, Magnoliopsida, Solanales, Solanaceae.